CCUACGGGAGGCAGCAGUGGGGAAUAUUGCGCAAUGGGCGAAAGCCUGACGCAGCGACGCCGCGUGAGGGAUGAAGGUCUUCGGAUCGUAAACCUCUGUCAGCAGGGAAGAACGGUCACUGUGCUAAUCAGCAGUGAAUUGACGGUACCUGACUAAGAAGCCCCGGCUAACUACGUGCCAGCAGCCGCGGUAAUACGUAGGGGGCAAGCGUUAUCCGGAUUUACUGGGUGUAAAGGGAGCGUAGACGGUAUGGCAAGUCUGAAGUGAAAGCCCAGGGCUUAACCCUGGGACUGCUUUGGAAACUGGUAGACUAGAGUGCUGGAGAGGUAAGUGGAAUUCCUAGUGUAGCGGUGAAAUGCGUAGAUAUUAGGAGGAACACCAGUGGCGAAGGCGGCUUACUGGACAGUAACUGACGUUGAGGCUCGAAAGCGUGGGUAGCAAACAGGAUUAGAUACCCCGGUAGUC
Molecule: ribosomal RNA, 465 nt
Filed under: uncultured bacterium
Lineage: Bacteria
Description: partial 16S ribosomal RNA
Rfam family: Bacterial small subunit ribosomal RNA
Source: RNAcentral